This is a long non-coding RNA of Cervus elaphus (red deer), 1186 nucleotides long. RefSeq lists it as uncharacterized. NCBI's taxonomy places the organism in Eukaryota, Metazoa, Chordata, Mammalia, Artiodactyla, Cervidae. The transcript has 6 exons. The record is from RefSeq and is a predicted model, not a curated record.
CCGGCUCCGGGUGCAGAUUAGAGGCGGCGGCCGUAGGGGGCGGGGGCCGGGCUCCGCGCCGUCGCCUGGCGCCCUCUGCCCUCCCCUCUCUCCGCGGCCCCGGCUCUUAAAGGGGCCGCGCGGCCUCGGAUCCCGCGCCUGGAACCCCACCUCCAGGAAGCCCUCCGGGCCCCAGCGGUCCGCCCCACCCGGAGACCCCCCAGUCUCAUCUUACACCCGCGGAGGGUCCAGUCGUCCGGGUCCCGAGGGCAAGCGUCCUCUCUCCGCCGGCCUGUCAGGAGCUACCCCCAACCCCACCCCACCCCACCCCACCCCUGGCAGUCUUUGUUCGUGCGGGGUUUGCCGCGGGCAGCGGCUUCUCUAGCCCGGGGCGGGCACGAGCGCACCCCGCGAACCCGGCCCAGGCGGCGCUUUACCUUAGAAAUCCACCCUAAGCGGCGCUCUCGGGACCCGCCCUCGCAGGGUGCCCCCAGCCCGGUAAAGGCAGUUGAGGGUUCGCCCCAGCCGACCGCUGUUGGAACACAAGCCCUCGGCCGCUUGGACGCUGGUUGUCCAGAGCGGGAGCAAACAUAGGUGUGAAAUGAGUACCUGUACCAGGCCCUGGGGGCCUCGCUCUGAGGAAGGAGAGGAAGACUUCUGCCUAGGGGGCCAAGGAGCCCUGGGAGCUGUUGAAGGAGACUGCUUUCUAUACUCUCCUGGGACAGGUGGGCACUCGGGAUCCCAGAGCUGUGAGUGCAGCUGGGGACGGUCGUGAUGGCCAGGCCUCCGCUGGACCCUCUCUUCCCUACUCGCAAUUCUCCUGACCUCUGGCCUCAGAGCUUUGUCCACAGUAGGUGCUUAGUGGACCCAAAGGAGGAAGGUGUUGCUGAGGAGAGAAGUCCUGGCUGGAGGUGGACCCUGAACUCAGCGAGAUGCCCAGCCCAGUUGCGUGGCCAGUUCCUCCUUCUGGGUUACCCUGAUGACCGGCCCUCACGCACAGCUGGGUAAUCACCUGAAGGAAGAGAACACAGUGAUCGAUGCUCUGUUUAUCUGAGAAGAGCUUUCCCUCUCUGGAAUUUAUUUCAUCUGGACCUCAUUGCUUCCACAAUUCUCUGAUGUCAUAUAUAUAUUAACAUAUACAUCCCACUUAAAAAUAUAAAUGAAUAAAUUGUGGUGAAACACAUAAGAUUUACUAAUGUCUUUUUAA